GAUGAACGCUGGCGGCGUGCCUAAUACAUGCAAGUCGAGCGAACAGACGAGGAGCUUGCUCCUCUGACGUUAGCGGCGGACGGGUGAGUAACACGUGGAUAACCUACCUAUAAGACUGGGAUAACUUCAGGAAACCGGAGCUAAUACCGGAUAAUAUAUUGAACCGCAUGGUUCAAUAGUGAAAGACGGUUUUGCUGUCACUUAUAGAUGGAUCCGCGCCGCAUUAGCUAGUUGGUAAGGUAACGGCUUACCAAGGCAACGAUGCGUAGCCGACCUGAGAGGGUGAUCGGCCACACUGGAACUGAGACACGGUCCAGACUCCUACGGGAGGCAGCAGUAGGGAAUCUUCCGCAAUGGGCGAAAGCUUGACGGAGCAACGCCGCGUGAGUGAUGAAGGUCUUCGGAUCGUAAAACUCUGUUAUUAGGGAAGAACAAAUGUGUAAGUAACUAUGCACGUCUUGACGGUACCUAAUCAGAAAGCCACGGCUAACUACGUG
This 497-nucleotide ribosomal RNA is filed under the name uncultured bacterium. Its description in RNAcentral is "partial 16S ribosomal RNA". It matches the Rfam family "Bacterial small subunit ribosomal RNA", at positions 28 to 507 of the family's 1533-position model. The record is from RNAcentral.